Antechinus flavipes (yellow-footed antechinus) is the source of this 334-nucleotide long non-coding RNA. RefSeq lists it as uncharacterized. NCBI's taxonomy places the organism in Eukaryota, Metazoa, Chordata, Mammalia, Dasyuromorphia, Dasyuridae. The record is from RefSeq and is a predicted model, not a curated record. The transcript is spliced from 3 exons.
AAGGUGACAGGAUCAGACUGAAGUGCACAAGGGCUGAGAAGAAUUGAAACCAAUUGGGGAGGAGGAGAUGCUAGCCUUCUGGCUCCUGUCUCUUGUUUUUCAUCUUCUAGUUUCCCAGCUUGCUUUCGCUAAGACAGGACAAUAUGACAAUGGAACCAUCUGGGACUCAGGAGGGUGUGCCUUUGAUCUAAAACUUAAUGCCUCCAAGUGCCAGUGGCAGAAGGCACCCUACAGUCAUACAGAAACCAACAAGAAGGAUGAGAAUGCUAGUGAAAACAGAAGAAUGAUAAUUGAACACAAAAAACAGAAUACUACAUUUAAAAGUACUGACACC